RNAcentral lists this ribosomal RNA (497 nucleotides) under uncultured bacterium. RNAcentral describes it as "partial 16S ribosomal RNA". It matches the Rfam family "Bacterial small subunit ribosomal RNA", at positions 28 to 507 of the family's 1533-position model. The record is from RNAcentral.
GAUGAACGCUGGCGGCGUGCCUAAUACAUGCAAGUCGAGCGAACAGACGAGGAGCUUGCCCCUCUGACGUUAGCGGCGGACGGGUGAGUAACACGUGGAUAACCUACCUAUAAGACUGGGAUAACUUCGGGAAACCGGAGCUAAUACCGGAUAAUAUAUUGAACCGCAUGGUUCAAUAGUGAAAGACGGUUUUGCUGUCACUUAUAGAUGGAUCCGCGCCGCAUUAGCUAGUUGGUAAGGUAACGGCUUACCAAGGCAACGAUGCGUAGCCGACCUGAGAGGGGGAUCGCCCCCCUGAGAACUGAUACCCGGUCCAGCCCCCUCCGGAAGGCAGCAGGAGGGUACCUCCCACAAGGGCCGAAAGCCGGACGAGCCAGCGCCGAGUGAGUAAUAAAGUUCUCGGUAUCUAAACACUUUUUUAUUGGGAAAAAAAAAAUGUGAAAUAAACUAGCCCCGUCUUGACGUUCCCUAAUCAAAAGCCCACGCCAAACCCCGUC